GAGAAGAGCAUGAUGGAGGGGCUGGGUAGAGGGGGAGCAUCAUGGAGGGGCUGGGGAGGGGGGAGAGCACCUCAUGAUGGAGGGGGGAGCGUCAUGGAGGGGUGGGGGAGCACCCCCCUCCCCAGCCCCUCCAUGAUGCUCCCCCUCUACCCAGCCCCUCCAUCAUGCUCUUCUCC
This 176-nucleotide microRNA precursor is filed under the name Pelobates cultripes (western spadefoot toad). The record is from RNAcentral. Lineage: Eukaryota; Metazoa; Chordata; Amphibia; Anura; Pelobatidae.